CCAUUUUGUGAUGGCUACUUGGUUGCCCACUGAAGCUAAGCAGGGCUGAGCCUGGUCAGUACCUGGAUGGGAGACCUCCUGAGAAAACUAGGUUGCUGCUGGA
This 103-nucleotide ribosomal RNA is filed under the name Sinocyclocheilus grahami. The record is from RNAcentral. Lineage: Eukaryota; Metazoa; Chordata; Actinopteri; Cypriniformes; Cyprinidae.